Molecule: non-coding RNA, 126 nt
Organism: Triticum aestivum (bread wheat)
Lineage: Eukaryota; Viridiplantae; Streptophyta; Magnoliopsida; Poales; Poaceae
Source: Rfam
CUCGUGCUCCCUCCGUCUGAAAAAGCUUGUCCCUCAGAUGAAUGUAUCUAGCAUCAAGUUAGCGCUAGAUACAUCUAUUUAAGAGACAAACUUGAGACAAGUUUUUUCGGACGGAGGGGGUAUUAU